This 1414-nucleotide ribosomal RNA is filed under the name Bacillus sp. (in: firmicutes). RNAcentral's name for it is "bacterial SSU rRNA". It matches the Rfam family "Bacterial small subunit ribosomal RNA". The record is from RNAcentral. Lineage: Bacteria; Bacillati; Bacillota; Bacilli; Caryophanales; Bacillaceae.
GUCGAGCGAACAGAAGGGAGCUUGCUCCCGGAUGUUAGCGGCGGACGGGUGAGUAACACGUGGGUAACCUGCCUGUAAGACUGGGAUAACUCCGGGAAACCGGAGCUAAUACCGGAUAGUUCCUUGAACCGCAUGGUUCAAGGAUGAAAGACGGUUUCGGCUGUCACUUACAGAUGGACCCGCGGCGCAUUAGCUAGUUGGUGGGGUAAUGGCUCACCAAGGCGACGAUGCGUAGCCGACCUGAGAGGGUGAUCGGCCACACUGGGACUGAGACACGGCCCAGAUUCCUACGGGAGGCAGCAGUAGGGAAUCUUCCGCAAUGGACGAAAGUCUGACGGAGCAACGCCGCGUGAGUGAUGAAGGUUUUCGGAUCGUAAAGCUCUGUUGUUAGGGAAGAACAAGUGCGAGAGUAACUGCUCGCACCUUGACGGUACCUAACCAGAAAGCCACGGCUAACUACGUGCCAGCAGCCGCGGUAAUACGUAGGUGGCAAGCGUUGUCCGGAAUUAUUGGGCGUAAAGGGCUCGCAGGCGGUUUCUUAAGUCUGAUGUGAAAGCCCCCGGCUCAACCGGGGAGGGUCAUUGGAAACUGGGAAACUUGAGUGCAGAAGAGGAGAGUGGAAUUCCACGUGUAGCGGUGAAAUGCGUAGAGAUGUGGAGGAACACCAGUGGCGAAGGCGACUCUCUGGUCUGUAACUGACGCUGAGGAGCGAAAGCGUGGGGAGCGAACAGGAUUAGAUACCCUGGUAGUCCACGCCGUAAACGAUGAGUGCUAAGUGUUAGGGGGUUUCCGCCCCUUAGUGCUGCAGCUAACGCAUUAAGCACUCCGCCUGGGGAGUACGGUCGCAAGACUGAAACUCAAAGGAAUUGACGGGGGCCCGCACAAGCGGUGGAGCAUGUGGUUUAAUUCGAAGCAACGCGAAGAACCUUACCAGGUCUUGACAUCCUCUGACAACCCUAGAGAUAGGGCUUUCCCUUCGGGGACAGAGUGACAGGUGGUGCAUGGUUGUCGUCAGCUCGUGUCGUGAGAUGUUGGGUUAAGUCCCGCAACGAGCGCAACCCUUGAUCUUAGUUGCCAGCAUUUAGUUGGGCACUCUAAGGUGACUGCCGGUGACAAACCGGAGGAAGGUGGGGAUGACGUCAAAUCAUCAUGCCCCUUAUGACCUGGGCUACACACGUGCUACAAUGGACAGAACAAAGGGCUGCGAGACCGCAAGGUUUAGCCAAUCCCAUAAAUCUGUUCUCAGUUCGGAUCGCAGUCUGCAACUCGACUGCGUGAAGCUGGAAUCGCUAGUAAUCGCGGAUCAGCAUGCCGCGGUGAAUACGUUCCCGGGCCUUGUACACACCGCCCGUCACACCACGAGAGUUUGUAACACCCGAAGUCGGUGAGGUAACCUUUAUGGAGCCAGCCGCCG